This 253-nucleotide ribosomal RNA is filed under the name uncultured bacterium. RNAcentral describes it as "partial 16S ribosomal RNA". It matches the Rfam family "Bacterial small subunit ribosomal RNA", at positions 524 to 776 of the family's 1533-position model. The record is from RNAcentral.
UACGAAGGGUGCUAGCGUUGUUCGGAAUUACUGGGCGUAAAGCGCGCGUAGGCUGUUUAUCAAGUCAGGGGUGAAAUCCUGGGGCUUAACCCCAGAAUUGCCUUUGAAACUGUUAAACUAGAGUGUCGGAGGGGAUAGCGGAAUUGCUAAUGUAGAGGUGAAAUUCGUAGAUAUUAGCAGGAACACCGGUGGCGAAGGCGGCUAUCUGGACGACAACUGACGCUGAGGCGCGAAAGCGUGGGGAGCGAACAGG